Molecule: transfer RNA, 73 nt
Filed under: Mustela putorius furo (domestic ferret)
Lineage: Eukaryota; Metazoa; Chordata; Mammalia; Carnivora; Mustelidae
Description: tRNA-Arg (CCT) (tRNA-Arg-CCT-12-1)
Rfam family: tRNA
About the family: Transfer RNA (tRNA) molecules are approximately 80 nucleotides in length. Their secondary structure includes four short double-helical elements and three loops (D, anti-codon, and T loops).
Source: Rfam by way of RNAcentral
ACCUAAUUGGCUCAGUCAGUAGAGCAUGUGACUCCUGAUCUCUGGGUCAUGAGUUCAAGCCCCAUAUUAGGUG